RNAcentral lists this non-coding RNA (28 nucleotides) under Homo sapiens (human). The record is from RNAcentral. Lineage: Eukaryota; Metazoa; Chordata; Mammalia; Primates; Hominidae.
UGGAGCCACGGUGACUGUCCUGGACAGC